ACAAUCAACACUCCACUCAGACAAUGCCCAGACCUCCAGAAACCAUGUGUCAAGCUCGGAUUGCCUUAGACAGGUGCAAUUUAAGAACAGCUUUCAUCCUCUUUUCUCUCAUAUUGUCACACUAUGUGUUCUGACUUCUGGCUCCUUUCCUCACAAGAAGCUCACCCAGCUGGAACUCUUAUGGGACCUUGGCACCAGAGACCACAAAUUCCUCUUUGAAGUUUUCUAACAGCAACAAUGGUAUUUCUGACUUGGCUUUCUUGUAUUUCUCUCACGUUAACAAAAUUGGUUCAGCAUCUACCAUGGGCUACAUGCUGAGCUACAGGUAAGGUUUGGCUAAAGGAUGAAUAAGAACCCCUCCUUGUCUUCAGGAGUUUGUCUAGCAGAGGAGUCUGUCAUGUAAUCAGGAAACUCCAGUACACAACGUGAUAGCUCUAAGACAGAGUUUCGCUCUGUCGCCCAGGCUGGAGUGCAGUGGCGCGCGAUCUCGGUUCACUGCAAGCUCCACCUCCCGGGUUCACGCCAUUCUCCUGCCUCAGCCUCCUGAGUAGCUGGGACUACAGGCGCCCGCCACCACACCCAGGAAUCCAACUUGCUGUUUGCUAUCACAUGUGCUAUACAUGCUGUUGAUGAAACUGCUAAAGGGGCUGAAUGUGACUGACGUCUUUGGAAGGAUGAGACUUAGCGUGCCUGUACAGUUGUGUCCAAAUGCUGUCCUCAUCUCCCAAUGAAAAGCUGAACUAGGGCCAUGCCUGGGACAGACAGAGAAUGGCCUUCCAGCAGACAUGCCAAGAAGCAAGCCAGGGUCAGUGAGUGAAGAGGAGGGCAGGCCCAUUUGAAGCAACACAGUUUAUAUACAUGAAAAGAAAGAAGGAGAGAAGGAAGAAAGGAGGGCGGAAGGAAAGGAAGAAGGGAGAGAAGAAGAGAAGAAAGAAGCAGAGAAAGGAAGAGAAAAGAAAUUACGGCCAGUGCGGUGGCUCACGCCUGUAAUCCUAGCACUUUGGGAGGCCUAAGCGGGCUGAUCACCUGAGGUCAGGAGUUCGUAAGCCAGCCUGGCCAACAUGGUGAAACCCUAUCUCUACUAAAAAUACAAAAAUCAGCAGGGCAUGGUGGUGCGUGCCUGUAAUCCCAGCUACCUGGGAGGCUGAGGUAGGAGAAUCGCUGGAACCCGAGAGGCGGAGGCUGCAGUGAGUUGAGAUCAUGUCACUGCACUCCAGGCUGGGCAACAGAGUGAGACUCUGUCUCAGAAAAAAAAAAAAA
Homo sapiens (human) is the source of this 1260-nucleotide long non-coding RNA. Ensembl annotates it as lung cancer associated transcript 1. Its record names the gene LUCAT1. The record is from Ensembl. NCBI's taxonomy places the organism in Eukaryota, Metazoa, Chordata, Mammalia, Primates, Hominidae.